RNAcentral lists this ribosomal RNA (407 nucleotides) under uncultured bacterium. RNAcentral's name for it is "bacterial SSU rRNA". It matches the Rfam family "Bacterial small subunit ribosomal RNA", at positions 355 to 772 of the family's 1533-position model. The record is from RNAcentral.
UGGGGAAUAUUGCACAAUGGGCGGAAGCCUGAUGCAGCGACGCCGCGUGAGGGAUGAAGGCCUUCGGGUUGUAAACCUCUUUCAGCGGGGACGAAGCCGCAAGGUGACGGUACCCGCAGAAGAAGCGCCGGCCAACUACGUGCCAGCAGCCGCGGUAAGACGUAGGGCGCGCGCGUUGUCCGGAUUUAUUGGGCGUAAAGAGCUCGUAGGCGGCUUGUCGCGUCGACUGUGAAAACCCGCAGCUUAACUGUGGGCCUGCAGUCGAUACGGGCAGGCUAGAGUGCGGUAGGGGAGACUGGAAUUCCUGGUGUAGCGGUGAAAUGCGCAGAUAUCAGGAGGAACACCGGUGGCGAAGGCGGGUCUCUGGGCCGCUACUGACGCUGAGGAGCGAAAGCGUGGGGAGCGAA